UACAGAGGGGGCAAGCGUUGUUCGGAAUUACUGGGCGUAAAGGGUGCGUAGGCGGUGGGGCAAGUCAGGUGUGAAAUCCCGGAGCUCAACUCCGGAACUGCACUUGAUACUGCUUUACUAGAGUACUGGAGAGGAGACUGGAAUUUACGGUGUAGCAGUGAAAUGCGUAGAUAUCGUAAGGAAGACCAGUGGCGAAGGCGAGUCUCUGGACAGUUACUGACGCUGAGGCACGAAGGCCAGGGGAGCAAACGGG
This 253-nucleotide ribosomal RNA is filed under the name uncultured bacterium. RNAcentral's name for it is "partial 16S ribosomal RNA". It matches the Rfam family "Bacterial small subunit ribosomal RNA", at positions 524 to 776 of the family's 1533-position model. The record is from RNAcentral.